GCCAGACGUAGUGACUAGGCCUGUAGUCCCAGCUACUGGAGAGGCUGUGAUAGGAAGAUCACUUGAGUCCAGGAGUUCUGGGCUCUCAUGCACUAUGCUGUUCAGCUGUCCACACUAAAUCCAACAUCAGUAGGGUAACCUCCUGGGAGCAGGGGCCACCAGGUUGCCUAAAGAGGAGCAAACCAGCCCAUUAUGGAAUUAGGGCAGGUCAGAACUCCCGGGCUGAUCAGUAAUGGGAUUGUGUUUGUACUCCAGCCUGACAACAUAUCGAGACCCCCCUCUCUAAAAAAAAGGGAUAGAUCUUCC
Otolemur garnettii (small-eared galago) is the source of this 306-nucleotide unclassified non-coding RNA. It matches the Rfam family "Metazoan signal recognition particle RNA". From Rfam's summary of the family: The signal recognition particle (SRP) is a universally conserved ribonucleoprotein. It is involved in the co-translational targeting of proteins to membranes. NCBI's taxonomy places the organism in Eukaryota, Metazoa, Chordata, Mammalia, Primates, Galagidae. The record is from Ensembl.